AGCCUUUAGCUAAACAAGUAUUAAAGGUCCCGCCUGCCCAGUGAAAUAUUUUAACGGCCGCGGUAUUCUAACCGUGCAAAGGUAGCGUAAUCACUUGUCUUCUAAAUAAAGACUAGUAUGAACGGCUAAAUGAGGACAAAACUGUCUCUUAUGACUAAUCAGUGAAACUGAUCUACCAGUACAAAAGCUGGUAUUGCUACAUAAGACGAGAAGACCCUGUGGAGCUUAAAACAAACCACUACCCCCUAAGACCCCUAGUGUACUGUUUUAAGUUGGGGCGACUUCGGAACAAAACAAAACUUCCGAGCAUAGAUCCACCAGAUCUGAACCAAGGCCUACAAGCCAAAAUAAAAACUGACCCGGCCCAAGCCGAUCAACGAACCAAGUUACCCCAGGGAUAACAGCGCUAUCUUCUUCAAGAGUCCAUAUCGACAAGAAGGUUUACGACCUCGAUGUUGGAUCAGGACACCCAAGUGGUGCAGCCGCUACUAAAGGUUCGUUUGUUCAACGAUUAACAGUCCU
This 522-nucleotide ribosomal RNA is filed under the name Eutropis multifasciata (many-lined sun skink). RNAcentral's name for it is "partial 16S ribosomal RNA". It matches the Rfam family "Bacterial large subunit ribosomal RNA", at positions 1817 to 2597 of the family's 2925-position model. The record is from RNAcentral. Lineage: Eukaryota; Metazoa; Chordata; Lepidosauria; Squamata; Scincidae.